UAUCACAACAAUUAUUUCUACUUUAUGCAGGCUGCAAUUUUUUAUUUUUCUGCGCAGAUGAAGAUCUGAAUUUAUCGAUGGAGCUUGAAAGUGUUAUCUCUUGGAUCUGCAAAAUCUGCAAAAGCAACAAAAAAAAUGAUUUUAGUAUAUAUUAAUGAUUUAAAGGAAAAUAGACUAUGGUAUAUGUACACUUUUGCUCUAUACCCACAAAUGAAUUUGUUUUAUUUCUGUUCUUUUUCUGCUAAAACAAUUUUUUCAUCAAAUUUUCAAAAGGAGAAGAAAUAGGGAAUAAAGUGGUGUCAACAGCUGUAAACAUUUUCCUCCCAUCAGAUUCACUGCGUUUUUUUUUUUUGCCAAAACUGAGAAUCUGUAGAAAUUCCUUUAAAUCAAACAUGCAAAUAAAGAAAGAAAAAAAAAGUGCAAAUAUUAAAGAACAAAAAAUUAUGCAAAAAAAUUAAAGAUGUUCAUAGAUAUGCAAAACUAAUAUGCGAAGGUAAACAGCAGAGGGAUUCGCGAAUACAGUGAGCAGAGAAGAAGGAAGAAGAUGAGGAACAGAGCUUCAACAACGGAGCCACAAAAACAGCAGCAAAAUCAAAACUUGCCGACACAAAAUCGCCUUCUCCAGACCUUAACUCUCUUCUUCUUUCUCCCAAAAAAUAACUCCCAAAAUUCUUCUCUCGAAUCUUUUUCAAAUGAUAUUCAUAGAUCUACAAAAAUGAUAAUGUAAAAACAAAAAAAAUAUAAGAAAUUAAAAAUUAAAAAAACUAAUAAACGAAAAAAUAGAUCUUAAUCAGUAUAAAAAUAAGGGGGUGGAAAUUUGACAUUGAGCAAGAAAUUUUAAACAUGGAGAAAAUUAAAAAA
Molecule: long non-coding RNA, 861 nt
Filed under: Salvia miltiorrhiza (redroot sage)
Lineage: Eukaryota; Viridiplantae; Streptophyta; Magnoliopsida; Lamiales; Lamiaceae
Description: long non-coding RNA (SMIL_LNC006477)
Source: RNAcentral